RNAcentral lists this transfer RNA (70 nucleotides) under Elassoma alabamae (spring pygmy sunfish). RNAcentral's name for it is "tRNA-Gly". It matches the Rfam family "tRNA". From Rfam's summary of the family: Transfer RNA (tRNA) molecules are approximately 80 nucleotides in length. Their secondary structure includes four short double-helical elements and three loops (D, anti-codon, and T loops). Lineage: Eukaryota; Metazoa; Chordata; Actinopteri; Centrarchiformes; Elassomatidae. The record is from RNAcentral.
AUUUUUCUAGUACAACGUAGUAUAAGUGACUUCCAAUCACCCGAUCUUGGUUAAAAACCACGGAAAAAUA